UACGUAGGGCGCAAGCGUUAUCCGGAAUUAUUGGGCGUAAAGAGCUCGUAGGCGGUCUGUCGCGUCGAUCGUGAAAACUUGGGGCUUAACCCUGAGCUUGCGGUCGAUACGGGCAUGACUGGAGUUCGGCAGGGGAGACUGGAAUUCCUGGUGUAGCGGUGAAAUGCGCAGAUAUCAGGAGGAACACCGGUGGCGAAGGCGGGUCUCUGGGCCGAUACUGACGCUGAGGGGCGAAAGCGUGGGGAGCGAACAGG
Molecule: ribosomal RNA, 254 nt
Filed under: uncultured bacterium
Lineage: Bacteria
Description: partial 16S ribosomal RNA
Rfam family: Bacterial small subunit ribosomal RNA
Source: RNAcentral